This 1298-nucleotide long non-coding RNA is filed under the name Ursus maritimus (polar bear). Its description in RNAcentral is "lncRNA (ENSUMAG00000017553.1)". The record is from RNAcentral. Lineage: Eukaryota; Metazoa; Chordata; Mammalia; Carnivora; Ursidae.
GAACUAAACUCGAGCAGAAAUUUAUCACGUGAAUCUUUGUUUAAAGAACCUGGUGAAAAAUAUCUUCAACCACAGUUACGUAAAAGGUCCAGGAGUGCAGUUCCCGGGGAUCAGGUUCCAGGAGGCAGAGCCUAAGGAGGCCGCGGAGCUGCUGCUCACGAGGCAUUUUAUUAAUGCUUUUGAAGAGUAGAAGAUAUUUUGCCUUCUGGAGUUUCUCUGACUUGCUGAUGGUCUAAGCUCAAAGCUGCCAGUUUAGGGGGGGUGAUCAAUAACUCCCUGUAACAUCUGAAUUGCAAGAAUACCUGCCUCUAAGGACUCAGGAGGACUGACUUUGUGGGCACAAAGUUAGUGAGUCCUGCCUGCGAGCUCGGGAAGGAGUUUAUUUGAACCGCUUCAAGGAGGCUUCCCAGGCAACCGUUUAUGCAGUCAUGAAAGGAUGCGGAACUAGGAGGAGGAAAAUGGAAGAAACAGAGGUAUACUUUCAGAUGGAACAGAGGGAGCCACUGAGCGGGGUGCACCUUUCACAGUGUAUAUUGUAUCGGCGAUAACUUUGGAUCUUGUUUGAAACCAAUGAGGAGAGUAACGCAAGUGGGUGCAAAGAAAGAAGCGCCCCUCCGAGCCCCGGGUAACCCAGACCGACAGUAAACACGAGGGCUGCCAGCUGCUCACUUGUCUGAGGAGGUAAGACACGGAAGAUGGGUUGGAAAUGAUUGGCUAAUGGGAAAGUUUAAGCACCCAAGAAUGAAUUCUUUUUAACCUUAAGUGAAUAAGGGUUCGAUUCAUUACUGAAAAGUAGGGACGCACUCAGUUGCAGUUUUACAUGUUUCCUAGGGAGGGAAAGAAGAGAUGGAGUGUGAACUAAUUUGUGGGGAAGCGCGUUCAGAAUGCAUCAGGGUUUCGGAGGGUAAAGGAGGUUGUCUGUGGCAUCAACGGGGGCUUUAACUGCAGGAGAAAGUAGGAGGACGGCAAAGCCGAGGCUAGAGUGUUAGCAGUGCAAGUUUGUCUUUGGGGUGUAUUUAUUUCCUGUGUCCUCCCCAGUGUCACAGACUUCCUCUCAAUUAGGGAUGAUUGUGGUCUGAACUGUUAAGGAUGCUAUACAGUUAAGCGUGAAGGCCCUCGAUCCAGACUUCUGGGUUCAGAUGCCGCUCUGCUUCAGAGGCAACUGACUUAAUUCUCAGACUCUUCAUCUGUAAAACACAGAUAGUAUUAAUAUUUACCUUUGUGGGGUUCUUGGGAAUGGCAUGUAAAUGAGUCAGUGAGAGCACUGUCAGGUGCAUAGUAAGCCCUCAGCAUGUGUU